RNAcentral lists this ribosomal RNA (303 nucleotides) under uncultured bacterium. RNAcentral's name for it is "bacterial SSU rRNA". It matches the Rfam family "Bacterial small subunit ribosomal RNA", at positions 355 to 675 of the family's 1533-position model. The record is from RNAcentral.
UGGGGAAUAUUGCACAAUGGGGGAAACCCUGAUGCAGCGAUGCCGCGUGGAGGAAGAAGGUUUUCGGAUUGUAAACUCCUUUUAUCAGGGACGAUAAUGACGGUACCUGAAGAAAAAGCUCCGGCUAACUACGUGCCAGCAGCCGCGGUAAUACGUAGGGAGCGAGCGUUGUCCGGAAUUACUGGGUGUAAAGGGAGCGUAGGCGGGACGGCAAGUCAGAUGUGAAAACUGAGGGCUCAACCUUCAGACUGCAUUUGAAACUGCUGUUCUUGAGUGAAGUAGAGGUAAGCGGAAUUCCUAGUG